This is a long non-coding RNA of Panonychus citri (citrus red mite), 3010 nucleotides long. RefSeq lists it as uncharacterized. The record is from RefSeq and is a predicted model, not a curated record. Lineage: Eukaryota; Metazoa; Arthropoda; Arachnida; Trombidiformes; Tetranychidae. The transcript is spliced from 6 exons.
CUCUCAUCAACAUCAAAUCUGAAUCGUUUAGAUUUACCACCAGUGGAAAAUGAUGAUGAAGCCAUUUUCAAAUUUCUCUCUAAUACUUUACCAUUUACCAGGUUAUAAGGUCAAUAGUACUUGCCUUAUAUAUAUUAUGCCUCUUGUCUUUCCCUCUCUCAAAAAGGAUUUGAUACACUGAUGGAAUAUAACAAGAAAACUAUCUAUGGAAAUGGUUUUUGGUGAUAAUCAAGAAGAUGAGGAAACAAAAGAGCAAGAAACAAGAGUGAAAACAAACCAAAGUAAUUUCAUUUAUAAUAAACAACACCAAAAGUAACUGUAAACCCAAACUAUGAUUUUCUUUGAAUAUUCUUUGUUAUUUCAUGAGUAACAGAAUCGUUUCCAUGUUUCGUUUAAUCAACUCAUCGCCAUGUUGAUCAUGAAAUUCAAUUAAUAACCUUUCGUACUUGUCAACUUACACGUUGUUUUGGAAGGUGACAGUUUCAAAAUGAGAGAGAGAGAGAGAUAAGUGAUGAUUGUGUAACUUGUUUACAAUUAAAGCGAGUGAGCAAAUUGUUUCUCGCUUUUUUCGACACUAAUUAAUUUGUACAUCAAUUGAAAGUAAUUCGAAGAUUAAUAUUCUUUCUGGAACUUUUCUGUUUAUGCUCCAUGAAUGGACUCAUCGACCAACAGAAGUUGUAACUUUCGAGUUGAAACUUGAUCGCUAAAUAAUUAGAUGAGAAUUAUUAAUAAUUUAUGAGCGAUUAUGGAAAUCAAUUGAAAAUAAGAUCAUCAAACAACAACAACAACUACUCAAUGAAAAGUUAAGGUGAUGACCUGAUUGUUUGUAAGCAGAUAAACAAAAUUGAAGGCAACGGAAACUAUUGAUAUUAUUGAUACAUUGUGAAAGUAAAAGGAAAGAUGAAGAGAGAGAGAGAUGAUAACUACUGUAUGAUGCUCCCCUUGUACUUCCGGGAAGAGAGGAAGGUUACAGGGGCUCUCCUCUAUUUUUUUCCCACUUCGGCAGGAGCCAAAUUAGGCCUUGUGAGCGAUGUAAAGAAAGCAAAAAAGUGUCAAUGAAACUCAAUGAUUAAUGUGAAUUUUGUCAAUUAUUGAACAUCUUCACAAGAAUCAGGAAAGAGAAAGCUCUCUCUCUCUCUCUCUCUCUCUCUUUCAUCGUUCUCAUUAUUUCAUCUUUAUCAUCAUCAUAAGCAGCUCACUAGCUCUUUACUCAAUCAACAUCAUUAUUUCAUCAUCAUUAUCAUACUAUUAUAUUUAGUUAAUUUACUAUCUCAUUGUUUAGUAGUAGUAGAAAAAAAUUAAUGGUUGUUUUUUUUUCUUGUUGAUUGUAAAAUCUCAUCUAAUUUUUUUUUUGUUAUAUUAUUAAUACAACAACAUCAUUAGUCAUUUGACAAUGAAAAAUUUAGGCCUGCGUUCAUAAAGAAACAAAAUUAGUUUAAUUAUAUUCUAGUGAAAAGUUAGUUAACUAUUAGAAUCAUUAACUAUUGCGAGGAUUGUUUGUUUUUCAUGUUACUGAUUGUUGGUGAUGAUGAUGUUGAUUAUGACGAUGGUUAAAUCAUAUUUCCCUUGUAAAUGAAUUCUUCUUUAUACUAAUUAAUUUUAUCUUCACUUAUUUUUCCUCUCACGCGCUUCAUCAUCUCAUAGUUUUCCAUCUUUUCAGGCCUUCUUAUUUUUCUUCCAUAACAACAUAGUAAUUGACUCUUCAUCUUAAUUCAAAGUUAAUCAACAUUCCAACGGGAAUCAUCUUAGGCUUUUCUCUCCACCAACCCAAUAAAACGCAUUUUUCCAAGACUUGGUUACAUUUUUGUCGCAAUUAGAUGAUUCCAUCAUCUUCAUCUCCAUCCUCAUCAUUAUCCUCAGAGUACAAUUUAUCAAGGGAUAACACUUAAAGAUUAAGAUGAUAACUUGGGAACAGAGGAUUAAUGGUGGAAAUGAUGAUGAUCUCUUUUCCAGUAAAACUUUUAUCAUCUCUCUCCAACUUUUGUCGACUGUUGAAAAUAUCGUUUAGUCAACUAUUCAUGGUUACUCUUGAUCAUAUGUUUAGAUGAUGUUCCUGAUUACAUCAACAGAACAUUUUUCAUCAUCUCUUUGUACUUAAAUUAAUUGCUGUUGACCCGUCAAACAAAUUAUCAUCCCACCUCAUCCUCAUCCUCAUCAUCAUCAUCAUCAUCUAAUCUUAUUCAUUCUGUUUCUGUCCAUUAGCAACAAUUAAUUAACAUUUUCUUCCUUCUGUUUAAUUUUUACAACCCAAAGGAACCUCAAUAGUUAAAGGUCACAAUUAAUUGUUCCAUUGAUGGUUUACCCCAACUGAACAACAAUUUAAACCAACAACGAGAAGGAAAAAAGAGACCAGAAGCCUUCUGAUCAUGUUAAUCAUCAUCAGCAUCUUUUCUCUUCAUCUUUAAACAUUUAAACUUGGAUAACUCAAUUUAGAAAUUACAACAAUUAAUCAUUUCCAUCAUUAAGCUUCUUGUUUUAACAGAAAAUUUAUAUUUCUCACCAUUUUUUUUGACAAUUUCUAAAAUAUUAAGUAACAAGAAAUCAAAAAAUCUGAAUGAACUUAAGUGUAUUGAUUGUUUCAUUAACAAUUAGAUAAUUACAUUGAAAAUAUUGAAGUGGGAAAAUUAGUAAUAACAAUCAGAUGGAAAAUUAAUCAUUAUUAUUAAUCAUCUUUACCUUUAUUAUUUAUCAAUAUAAAAGGCGAUUGUUAUAAAUAUAGAAACAGAUUCAAGUAAAAAUCAUCUUGUUAUUAAAUAAUUAGAAUGAUUAGAAAAUUAAUAUUUCCUAAUAACAAUUAACUUUGAAUUUCAUUAAAAUUGAAUUCGAGGUUAGUUUAUCUGGAAUACGAUAGAUGGCGUUUCGACUCGACAAUUUACUUAACAAUCGAGAGGGAAACGUGUUUACCUGUGUACCCUGAAUUUUUUUGUUUUAUUUCGUGAAAAUAAUAAUAGUUAAUUAUAUUAAGUGCUCUAAAAUUGAAUAACAAGGUCGUAGAAAUACCCUAAAAAAA